This is a small nuclear RNA of Ochotona curzoniae (black-lipped pika), 107 nucleotides long. Lineage: Eukaryota; Metazoa; Chordata; Mammalia; Lagomorpha; Ochotonidae. The record is from RefSeq and is a predicted model, not a curated record.
GUGCUCGCUUCGGCAGCACAUAUACUAAAAUUGGAACGAUACAGAGAAGAUUAGCAUGGCCCCAGCGCAAGGAAGAUAUUUUAGAAAUCAAAGCUUCUUUUGUAUUU